GACGAACGCUGGCGGCGUGCUUAACACAUGCAAGUCGAACGGAAAGGCCCGGCUUUUGCGGGGUGCUCGAGUGGCGAACGGGUGUGUAACACGUGAGUAUCCUGCCCUUGACUUUGGGAUAACUUCAGGAAACUGCGGCUCAUACCGGAUAGGAGCUCCUGCUGCGUGGUGGUGGUUGGUAAGUGUCGGCGGUUGGGGAUGGACUCGCGGCUUAUCAGCUUGUUGGUCGGGUAGUCGCUUACCAAGUCUUUGACGGGUAGCCGGCCUGGGAGGGUUAACGGCGACAAGGGGACUAAGGGAGGGCGCAGACGGGUAUGGGAGGCAGCAGGGGGAAAUUUUGCAGAAUGGGGCGAAGCGUGAUACGGAAGCGCCCCGUGCGGGAUGACGGCCUUCUGGGUAAAAACAGCUUUCGACUGUGACGUAGCGUGAUUGACGGUAAUGGGUAAAGAAGCACCGGCUAACUACGUG
This 468-nucleotide ribosomal RNA is filed under the name uncultured bacterium. RNAcentral describes it as "partial 16S ribosomal RNA". It matches the Rfam family "Bacterial small subunit ribosomal RNA", at positions 28 to 507 of the family's 1533-position model. The record is from RNAcentral.